This 447-nucleotide ribosomal RNA is filed under the name uncultured bacterium. RNAcentral's name for it is "bacterial SSU rRNA". It matches the Rfam family "Bacterial small subunit ribosomal RNA", at positions 330 to 792 of the family's 1533-position model. The record is from RNAcentral.
GCCAGACUCCUACGGGAGGCAGCAGUGGGGAAUAUUGGGCAAUGGGCGAAAGCCUGACCCAGCAACGCCGCGUGAAGGAAGAAGGCUUUCGGGUUGUAAACUUCUUUUGACAGGGAAGAGCAGAAGACGGUACCUGUCGAAUAAGCCACGGCUAACUACGUGCCAGCAGCCGCGGUAAUACGUAGGGGGCAAGCGUUAUCCGGAUUUACUGGGUGUAAAGGGAGCGUAGACGGCCAGACAAGUCUGAAGUGAAAAUCCAGCGCUUAACGUUGGAAGUGCUUUGGAAACUGCCGGGCUAGAGUGCAGGAGGGGCAGGCGGAAUUCCUAGUGUAGCGGUGAAAUGCGUAGAUAUUAGGAGGAACACCAGUGGCGAAGGCGGCCUGCUGGACUGCAACUGACGUUGAGGCUCGAAGGCGUGGGGAGCAAACAGGAUUAGAUACCCUAGUA